Molecule: ribosomal RNA, 253 nt
Filed under: uncultured bacterium
Lineage: Bacteria
Description: partial 16S ribosomal RNA
Rfam family: Bacterial small subunit ribosomal RNA
Source: RNAcentral
UACGGAGGGAGCUAGCGUUGUUCGGAAUUACUGGGCGUAAAGCGCGCGUAGGCGGCUUUGUAAGUUAGAGGUGAAAGCCCGGGGCUCAACCCCGGAAUUGCCUUUAAGACUGCAUCGCUUGAAUCCGGGAGAGGUGAGUGGAAUUCCGAGUGUAGAGGUGAAAUUCGUAGAUAUUCGCAAGAACACCAGUGGCGAAGGCGGCUCACUGGCCCGAUACUGACGCUGAGGCACGAAAGCGUGGGGAGCAAACAGG